Molecule: ribosomal RNA, 439 nt
Filed under: uncultured bacterium
Lineage: Bacteria
Description: bacterial SSU rRNA
Rfam family: Bacterial small subunit ribosomal RNA
Source: RNAcentral
GUAGCAAUACUGAUAUGAGAGUGGCGCACGGGUGCGUAACGCGUAUGCAACCUACCUCUAUCUGGGGGAUAGCCUUCCGAAAGGGAGAUUAAUACCGCAUAACACAAUGAAGUGGCAUCACUUUAUUGUCAAAACUCCGGUGGAUAGAGAUGGGCAUGCGUAAUAUUAGCUAGUUGGUGAGGUAAUGGCUCACCAAGGCUACGAUAUUUAGGGGGUCUGAGAGGAUGAUCCCCCACACUGGUACUGAGACACGGACCAGACUCCUACGGGAGGCAGCAGUAAGGAAUAUUGGACAAUGGUGGCAACACUGAUCCAGCCAUGCCGCGUGCAGGAUGAAUGCCCUAUGGGUUGUAAACUGCUUUUAUACGGGAAAAAACCUCCGCACGUGUGCGGAGCUGAUGGUACCGUAAGAAUAAGGAUCGGCUAACUUCGUGCCAGC